GUGAGUAACGCGUGAGCAACCUACCUUAGUUACUGGGAUAGCCCGAGGAAACUCGGAUUAAUACCGGAUAUUCUUAUUUAAUCACAUGAUUUUUUAAGGAAAGGUCAGCCGAACUAAGGUGGGCUCGCGUUCUAUCAGCUAGUUGGUAGGGUAAUGGCCUACCAAGGCUACGACGGAUAGCUGGUCUGAGAGGACGAUCAGCCACACUGGGACUGAGACACGGCCCAGACUCCUACGGGAGGCUGCAGCAGGGAAUAUUGCGCAAUGAGCGAAAGCUUGACGCAGCGACACCGCGUGUGGGAUGACGGAUCUAGGUUUGUAAACCACUUUCAGGAGGGAAGAAAAUGACGGUACCUCCACAAGAAGCCCCGGCCAACUACGUGCCAGCAGCCGCGGUAAUACGUAGGGGGCGAGCGUUGUCCGGAUUUAUUGGGCGUAAAGAGCUCGUAGGCGGUUCAACAAGUCGGUCGUGAAAGUUCAGGGCUCAACCCUGAAAUGUCGAUCGAUACUGUUGUGACUAGGAUACGGUAGAGGUGAGUGGAAUUCCGAGUGUAGCGGUGAAAUGCGUAGAUAUUCGGAGGAACACCAAUUGCGAAGGCAGCUCACUGGGCCGCUAUCGAC
This 621-nucleotide ribosomal RNA is filed under the name uncultured bacterium. RNAcentral's name for it is "bacterial SSU rRNA". It matches the Rfam family "Bacterial small subunit ribosomal RNA", at positions 106 to 744 of the family's 1533-position model. The record is from RNAcentral.